RNAcentral lists this transfer RNA (66 nucleotides) under Cochlostyla marinduquensis. RNAcentral describes it as "tRNA-Asp". The record is from RNAcentral. Lineage: Eukaryota; Metazoa; Mollusca; Gastropoda; Stylommatophora; Camaenidae.
UUUUAUCUAAUUUAAAAUAAAAUAAUUACUUGUCAAGUAAAAUAUGCCUUUAUAAUGCGAUAUUAG